Molecule: ribosomal RNA, 254 nt
Filed under: uncultured bacterium
Lineage: Bacteria
Description: partial 16S ribosomal RNA
Rfam family: Bacterial small subunit ribosomal RNA
Source: RNAcentral
UACGUAGGGAGCGAGCGUUGUCCGAAGUUACUGGGCGUAAAGCGCGCGUAGGCGGGCUGUUAAGUGAGAGGUGAAAGGCUGGGGCUUAACCCCAUGCAGUGCCUCUCAUACUGGCGGUCUUGAGUUCGGUAGGGGAGACUGGAAUUCCUGGUGUAGCGGUGAAAUGCGCAGAUAUCAGGAGGAACACCGGUGGCGAAGGCGGGUCUCUGGGCCGAUACUGACGCUGAGGAGCGAAAGCGUGGGGAGCAAACAGG